This 719-nucleotide ribosomal RNA is filed under the name uncultured bacterium. RNAcentral describes it as "bacterial SSU rRNA". It matches the Rfam family "Bacterial small subunit ribosomal RNA", at positions 8 to 722 of the family's 1533-position model. The record is from RNAcentral.
AGAGUUUGAUCAUGGCUCAGAUUGAACGCUGGCGGCGUGCUUAACACAUGCAAGUCGAUCGGUAACGCGGGGGCAACCCUGGCGACGAGAGGCGGACGGGUGAGGAACGCUUGGGAAUCUGCCCAUCAGCGGGGGACAACCCGGGGAAACCCGGGCUAAUACCGCAUACGCUCUACGGAGGAAAGCCGGGGACCGCAAGGCCUGGCACUGAUGGAUGAGCCCAAGUCGGAUUAGCUUGUUGGCGGGGUAACGGCCCACCAAGGCGACGAUCCGUAGCUGGUCUGAGAGGACGAUCAGCCACACUGGGACUGAGACACGGCCCAGACUCCUACGGGAGGCAGCAGUGGGGAAUAUUGGACAAUGGGGGAAACCCUGAUCCAGCGACGCCGCGUGGGUGAAGAAGGCCUGCGGGUUGUAAAGCCCUUUCGGUAGGGACGAAAGCUCUCGACCUAACACGUCGGGAGGUUGACUUAACCUACAAAAGAAGCACCGGCUAACUCUGUGCCAGCAGCCGCGGUAAUACAGAGGGUGCGAGCGUUAAUCGGAAUUACUGGGCGUAAAGCGCACGUAGGCGGCUUGGCAUGUCGGGUGUAAAAUCCCCGGGCUCAACCUGGGAACUGCAUCCGAAACUGCCUUGCUAGAGUAUGGGAGAGGGAAGCGGAAUUUCUGGUGUAGCAGUGAAAUGCGUAGAUAUCAGAAGGAACAUCAGUGGCGAAGGC